GGGCCCGCACAAGCAGCGGAGCGUGUGGUUUAAUUCGAUGUUACACGAAGAACCUUACCAGGGUUUGACAUGCAAGUGGUAGGAAGCCGAAAGGUGACCGACCCUUCGGGGAGCUUGCACAGGUGCUGCAUGGCUGUCGUCAGCUCGUGUCGCGAGAUGUUCGGUUAAGUCCGCUAACGAGCGCAACCCUCGCUGUGUGUUAUAUGUGUCACACGGGACUGCCGGUCUUAAGCCGGAGGAAGGUGGGGAUGAUGUCAAGUCAGCAUGGCCUUUAUAUCCUGGGCUACACACACGCUACAAUGGCCAACACAAUAGGUUGCCAAGCCGCGAGGCGGAGCCAAUCCUAAAAAGCUGGCCUCAAUUCAGAUUGCAGUCUGAAACUCGACUGCAUGAAGUCGGAGUUGCUAGUAAACGCAGGUCAGCUAUACUGCGUUGAAUACGUUCCCGGGGCUU
Molecule: ribosomal RNA, 453 nt
Filed under: uncultured Leptolinea sp.
Lineage: Bacteria; Bacillati; Chloroflexota; Anaerolineae; Anaerolineales; Anaerolineaceae
Description: bacterial SSU rRNA
Rfam family: Bacterial small subunit ribosomal RNA
Source: RNAcentral